CAGUCCUAGAGUCCAGGGACUUCCCGCCAGAGGACUCCAGGAAGUAUCUUGGUUUCACUUUUGCUCAGGGAGUCAAGAGUUUGUUUUGUUCCUAUUUUUACCAUCUGCAACUCUGUUUUAAAGUGUGGGUUCCCUGAACAUCUCCAGGAGGGUUGGGAGGUCACCUCUUAACCCAGGACUCUUCUCAGUCUGAGAAAAUCUGACAGCUGCUCUGAUAUUUGGUUGGAGGCUUUGAAAGAGUCAUAGGAAUCAUCAUAACAAUUCUGAACUCUUUCAUCUGAAGAUCUCAAAGACCUGCAUAAACAUUAAUUAUUCUCAUAGCACUGCUUGGAGGUAAGUAGAUAUUAGGAUUCUAUUCACCUCUCAUGCUUCUAAAUAUACAGAACAAUGGGUUCCAUCCCCAUUGUUCGCUUUAUUUAUUUAUUUGUUUAUUGUAGUACUGGGGACUGCAUCCAGGGCUUGUGCAUACCGGGCAAGUGCUCUACAACUGAACUGCAUCCCCAGCCUCCUACCUCCCAUUAUUUACUUUAGAAAAAAAGUAUUUCCCUUCUAUUCUCAGGAAAAUGAAAUUGCCUAUUGUGGACUAUGCAAAGAAGUUCUGUUUAAAGCAUAGUCCCUGACAUCAAGGAACUUAGCCCUUGAAGUAAAAAGCAUAAUAAGAUGAAUAAUAAUGUAAAAGUUAUUACAGGACAGAGUAUAAUUAAUGUAAAAUGAGAGGACCUCAUGGUGGUGGUGGGGAAUCAUCAUGGAUGUUAGUGGCCAAGGAGGACUUUAUGGAGAAGGAGGGAUUUGGAUGGACCUUGACUACUCUGAGUGUGUGGUGUGUGUGCACGCACACAAAUGCAUUCCACUAGGGGAUGACGCAUGGACAAAGGUACUGAGGUGGGAAUAUGUAUGACUUGUCUAGAUGACAGAUUUUUUUUUCUGGUACUGGUGUACUGGGGAUUGACUCCAGGGGUGCUCUAUCACUGAGCUACAUCCCUAGCACACACACACCCUACACCCCACCCGACUUUUUAAAUUAUGGGGCAGGGUCUUGUUAAAUUGCUGAGGUUGGCCUUGAACUUGCAAUCCUGCUGGAGUCACUGGGAUUACAGUUGUGUGCCACCGUACCUGACUUAGAGGGCAGAUAUUUUGAUAUGGCUGAAGUCAGAGGAAUAAGGGAAGAAAAAAAUUGGAAAGCUGGGUAGAUCAGGAUCCAACAGUGAAAAAUUGUAAGUAUCAAUUUGCAAGAUUUUGACUCUCAGUAUAUCACAGAAUAAAAAAAGUAAAAUAAGAAAUUGGGCCAUAUGAACAGAUAAAGUUCAUGCUUGAUAUAAAAUUUAAUAAAGGAAUGGAACUGUUUGCAAAAAAAUGAGGCAGGAUGGUUUGGAAGAGAUGGUAUAGCUGGAACAGUAAUUCUUAGUAUGAUAACUGGACCACAUCAGAAUCAACCGAGGUUGUUAGAAGUACACAUUCUUGGGCACCUGACCUGAUCUAUUAAAUCAGAAAUUCUGGGGAUAGGACCUAGCAAACACCAGCCUUCCAGGUGACUCCAAUGCAGCUCAAGUUUGACAACUAAUAAGCUAGAGAAACACUCUUUUCAGCAGACAGGCCCAAAUAUAGCAGCAUUCUCACCAUCAAAUUCAUGCUCUGGGGCUGGGGGUGCAGCUCAGUGAAUAAACGUUUGUCUAGCAUCUGCAGGGCCCAAUUUUUGAUCCCUAGUACCUCAAAAAAAUAAAAAUAAAAUAAAAAUUCAUGUUCUUCAGGUGAAAAAAGCAAACUAUUAAACCAAUUACUAGAAUUCAAGGUUUUUUACAAACUUUUUACUAUGUAAAAAUUUUAAACUUAUAUAAAUAUAGGAUAAUAAGGCAACUGGUGGAACGUGCUUGUAAUUCCAGAAAAAAUAAGGGCGGGUGGGGGGUGUUUAAGAUGUAGCUUAGUGAUAGAGAGCCCCUAGGCUUAUUCCCCAACACUUUGAAAAAAAGGCAUAAUAGAACAACAAGCCUGCACAUACUCAUUCCAGAUUUAAAAAUUAUCAAGAGAGCCUAGUGCUGUGGCACACACCUAUAAUCCCAGAGGCUCAGAAGCCAGCCUCAGUAAAAGCAACAUGCUAAGCAGUUCAGUGAGAUACUGUCUCUAAAUAAAAAAUAUAAAAUAGGGCUUGAAGUGUGGGUCAGUGGUCAAGUACCCCUGAGUUCAAUCCCUGAACCCCCCCAAAAAAAAUUAUCAAGAGUUUAUUACACUGUCUCUUUUUCUCUCUGAAUUGUUUUUGUUAAUCCUAGAUAUAUUUCAGUAUAUAUCCUUUAAAAAUAUACAUGUUGGGCUGGGGAUAUAGCUCAAGCUGUAGCGCGCUCGCCUGGCAUGCGUGUGGCCCGGGUUCCAUCCUCAGCACCACAUACAAACAAAGAUGUUGUGUCCGCCGAAAACUAAAAAUAAAUAAAUAAAUAAAUAUUUUAAAAAAAUUCUCUCACUCUCUCUUUAAAAAAAAAGAAAGAAAUUUAAAAAAAAAAUAUAUAUAUAUAUAUACAUGUUAUUACACCUUAAUGUUAAUAUCACACCUGACAAAAAGAACAGUACUUAUUGACUUUCACCUAAUAUCUGGACUAUAAUCAAAUUUCUCAGAUCAUUGAAGUUCAGCCCACUUAAUCCUUAAUUAAGGAUAUACAGCUGGCUAUAUUCUAUUUCAGUCACCUAAAACAAUGAAAUUUAGAAGAAUACUGAGAUGGAAAAAACUUCUUUUUUUGUUUGUUUGUUUGUUUGUUUGUAAAGUAUCUCAAGUAAAAGAAUAUUCCUCCCAGAUACAGAUAAGUUUGAAAGUAUUUGGGCAAGCAUCUGUGUUAUUAUCUAUGGAUUAGUUAAUAUUAUCUGCGAUAUGAGUUCCCAUCAUGCUUGUUGUCAGAAAGCAUAAUUAACCGGGAUGAGUCUUAGUUGUGUUAAGUACAGCUUCCUGCCAAACCUCAACUCACCUGCCCCAUUCUCUAUAAUCAGCAUAAGGGGUUAUUGAAGUGUAUGGUGUUUCCUAACACUGUCUCUGGAACACCUGUGCUGUUAUCAUGCCAGUUUAGGCAUUAAAAAUAUAGCAAGAUUGGGGUAGGGGGUAAGCUCACUGGUAGAACCCUUGUCUAACAUGAGGGAGGCCCUGGGUUUGGUCCCCAGCACCACCAAAAAUAAACAAAUAAAAUUAAAACAUAGUAAGAGCUGGGGUUGUGGCUCAGUGGUAGAGCGCUUGCCUAGCAUGUGCGAGUCACUGGGUUUGAUUCUCAGCACCACAUACAAAGAAAAUAAAGGUCCAUCAACAAUAUGUAUAUAUAUAUAUAUAUAUAUAUAUAUAUAUAUAUAUAUAUAUAUAUAUAUUCAGCUCUUUCAAAAUAUUAGUCCUGUUAAUUUCCAGAGUCACACACACAUAGAGUGCUUUUAAGUACUUUACCUAACAUGUUUCAUUUUUUUAAAAAAGCCAUUAAACGGACAGGUGUGGUAGCACACACCUAGAAUCCCAGUGAUUCGGAGGCUAAGGCCAGAAGAUCACAAGUUUGAGGCCAGCCUCAGAAAGUUUGAGGCCAGCGUGGGCAACUUACCGAGGUCCUAUUUCAAAAUAAAAAAGGACUGGGCUAUAGCUUUGUAGUAAAGCACCCAUGUACCAGUACCAAAACAAAAGCCAUUAAGAAUGUGCUUACACUGGGCGCAGUGGUGCAAGUCUGUAAUCCCAACAGCUCAGGAGGCAGAGGCAGGAUUAUCACAGGUUCAAAGCCAAUUUAGUAAGGACCUGUCGCUCAAUAAAAUAUAAAAAAGGGCUGGGGCUGUGGCUCAGUGGUUGAGGCCCUAGGUUUAAUUCCAAAUACCAAAAAAAGAAAAAAGAAAAAAGAACGUGUUUAGAUGAAGCCAAACCAGCAAUAUAAAAACAGACAAAUGAAAUCUUAAGAGGAUAGUUGACCAAAUGUUUUAGUACUGGGAAAUAGAACUUUAUUUAUGUAUUUAUUUAUAUAGUUGUACUUGGGAUUAAACAUAGGGGCUCACACAUGCUAAGCAAGUGCUCUACUACUGAGCUACAUCCCCAGAUGUUUUUUAUUUUAUUUUGAGACACCUUACAAAGUUGAUUAGCCUGGCCUUGAACUUGCAUCUUCCUUCCUCAGCCUCCCAAGUAGCUGGCAUUAUAGUUGUAUGCCACUGUGUCUGGCAAAGGAAGUAGUAUUAACUAUUUCCUCAACAAAUAUUUUUUCUCCAUAUCCAUGGAUUCUGCCUCCACAGCUGUAGUGGUCAUGUACAGAUAUUUUUUUUUUCUUGCCAUCAUUCCUUAACAAUGUAGCAUAACAACAAUUUACAUAGCAUGAAUGUUGUAUUAGGUAUUUUAAGUAAUUUAGAGGUGAUUUAAAGUAUGUAAGAAGAUGUUUGCAGGUGGUAGGCUACUUGCAAAUACUACACCAUUCUAUGUAAGAGACUCAAGCAUCUGCAGAUUUUGAUAUAUAUUUAUAUAUAAAUGUCAAAGUUUCAAUUAUUUUAUAAUUUUUAUUUUUAUAUUUUUAAUAUUUAUUUUUAUAAAUGCCUAUUAUGUAUAUAUGUAUAAAUAUGUAUGUAUAUAUAAAGUCAUAUAUGUACAUAGUCAUUAUAAAAUAAGUGAAAAUUUGAUAUUAGUAGUGAAUUGCCACCUGGGGUUGUGGCUCAAUGGUAGAGUGCUUGCCUAGCAUGUGUGAGGCACUGGGUUCUAUCCUCAGCACCUUAUAAAAAUAAAUAGAAAUAAAGGUUUUUUUAAAAAAGAGUUAACUCAAAAAAAUAGUGAAUUGCAUUAGUAUAUGCUUAAGACAUGUACAUGCUGUCUGUGUACUUUAAACUUUUAAAACUGUAAUUUGAAUCGGAAGAUAUGAAAAAUACAAAAAGAAAAUUAAGGGUAAAAUUAAACUAUGGUUCCACUUAAAAUGUAAUGCCAAGGGCAGGCACAGUGGCAUAUACCCAUAAUCCCAUCAAAGGAGGAUCACAAAUUCAAAGCCAGCCUCAGCAACCUAGCGACGUCCUAAGCAACUCCCUGUCUCUAAAUAAAAUACAAAAUAGGUCUGGGGAUGUGGCUCAGUGGUUGAGUGCCCCUGAGUGCAGUCCCUGGUACUGCCUGCCCCACCCCCUACAAAAUGUGAUGCCUAUACUAUGGAUUUUAAUUAUUUAUUUAUUUUUUUUUUUUGAGAAGAGGUCUCUCCCUCUCUCUUGUACUUAUCACCUCUUCUGCCUGCUUCCCUACGUCAUUUCACAAACACAUCAUUUUAUAUUUUAUUUAGAUUAAUGUGUAAGGCUGGAAAAUACUGUAAACAACGAGAAAAAAUGCAAAAUAGAUUAUACUGAAGAUAAGAACAAUUCCAAAAAUAGUCGUCUGCCUCUCUGUGUUUUUGUUCUCCCAGUAACGAAGCUCACUGCCUUUAAUUAUAGCUUGAGACAGUGUGUUGAAAUAUUUAAUCUCUGAGUAAUGACUGGAUUUUAGUUUCCUAAUUGGCAUCUGUGUGUUUAGCAUUUCUACCAAAUCCCAAUCUGAGAAUGCGCACACAAUACAAGACAUGAGUUUCUAAGUAAAACAUUUCUGAUACGUGCCACCUUAGCUCCAGGGCAAUAAUGUUACAACAAACGGGGGAAGGAUAAAUAUCAUAUGUUUUAUGAUUUCACAUAUUUUUAAUGCCUGACCAACAACCUGUCAGGGUUUACAAGUUAAACCACAAAUCCAUGUGUGAUCACAGUACCUAGUGAAGUAUAAUUGCAGCCCCAAAGAAGCCCUUGGCCUUGGGAAAGUGUCUUGCUCAUUCUUGAAUGGUAUUUCAGGUACCUGGGAGUAGUUCCCAGGAGAUAAUGCUCCGCCCACAUUGGUUGACUUAAUUUAAAACCUUGUGAAACCAGCUUGAAGGGACAAAAGGAUAGGCUAAGUAGAGAAAUGAUCAGCUUGAAUCCAUUCACCAAAAUUUAUUUGUGUUUUCCUAAAUGGAGAAUCCAGGGAAGUGUCAUUUGGGCAUCUUCCCCUGGAUUAUCGUUAGCUUCAUAUUGUUCGAAACAAAAUGCCACUCAUGCAACACACCUCUUGGGUGAGUCCAUGAAACACACUGUGGGUGUGGGACCUGCACGUUCACAUUCCCGGAAUAAUGCCUAUUUCCCCUCAGUAGUGUUUAUCCAGCCUAAAGUUACACGUGGGAGAAGGUGGAGCAAGAGGUGGAAUCACAGAACCCAGCUGUUCUCCCCAUUGAGAAGCUUCGUUUUAUUUUCAGUCUAGUUAAUAUGGGGAAACCGACCCCACCCCCCAUACAUCUGACAGCAGGAACUCAAGACAGGACGGCCAGCUCUGUUAGAAGCUUUGGGGCUCCAUAUUUACCCAGAUGCCAGAGUAUCCAGAGUCCUCUGAAAAUGAAAACUGCUCUUUCCAAAAGUGAGUAACACUGUGUGGGAUUACAACUUGAACCUUUCUGCCCUCAAGGUGAAACAAUGAAUGAGUAAAAGAGGCCACUCCCAAAUACCAAGCAUCACUGAGGCUUACUUAAUAGGAUCAAAACAAAGCCAGUUCCUGCCUUGGCCUGGCUCACCAGUCACUAGAUGACCUUGGAAGCCAGGGGGCUACGUUGACUGGCAUGGUCACCUGGUCAACUGUUCUGCUGUUCUGCACCUCAUAUUCAUCUUUUCCAGGUACAACCCAGAGUAAGAACUUUUACAGUCACCAAAUUCAGAUAAAGAGGAUCCCAUCAUAUCCCUGGUGCUGUUGUCCAUCCAUAUCUCUCCUCAGUAUUAUCAGUUCUGAGUUUCACUGAAAUGAAGCUCAUUGGACCCAACUGGGUCUAGUUAGAGAGGUAUGUUAAUGACAUGAGGCUACAAGGCUGUAAGAUCCUACACUUCUGAGGAAUUAAUAACUUCAUUCCUGGCCAAAAAUGCUGAGUUGACAAUGUUCUUUGGACCUUUUGUCAUAGCAAGGUUUAAUUCUCAAUCUAGAGAGAACAGAUUGGUUGGCAUUAUCACUUGGAAAGGAGAUUACUUCCCAUUUUUGGCUCAUCCUGUAUCUGGAAGCAACCAAUCUGAAGUUCAUGUAGCCAUAUCCUCUAAUAACUGAAGGAGAAGAGAUGAAGGAGUGUCCUAGAGAGGCCCUUGGCCAUUUACACUUUAUAUUCUUCUGGCAGUAAUGACUCAGAGGCACUUUGAGCCUCUUAACCCAAAACUUCACUUAACUCCCACAACAAACCUGUGCAUGGCUCAAAUAACCCCAAAGUGGAAUUGAGCACAGCACAGCAUAUGUCUCCAGGUAGGUAGGCUUGGGAAACCGAGGCCACCACCUGUUCAUCCACUGUUUACUUCUUUUCUUUUUUUCUUCUCUCUCUCUCUCUCUUUUUCUUUUUUUUCCCCUGUCAAUGCCAGGGACUGAAUCCAGGGUCCUUUAUUACUGAGCUACUACCUCAGUCCUUUUUUAUUUUGAGACAGGGCUGAAACUAGCCUCCAGAGUCACUGGGACUGCAGGUGUGUACUACCACAUCCAGCUGCAUUUCCCUUUUUUAAAUCUAAGGGAUGAGUUAGAUGUUUCUGAUCCAUUAUGUGCUUUGGCUUUGAUAUUCUCUGGCUCAUACUCUGGGCUCCCGUUCUCCUCCAGCACUUGGAGGAACAGUGGGAGAGGAAGAAGGAUCAGUUGAUUGCUUUUGUUGUUAUUUUCUUCACACUGAUACAAAACAAAACUCCUUUUGGUUCCUUCCUGAAUCUAUCAUCUAAGAACCAAUAUAUCCUUGGCUUGAAUGAAUCGAGUGGCUUAAGAACAAACUAAUGAUAUCUGUUUUAGGGGACUCUAGGAAGAGAACUCCUACCUUUACACAAGAAAGAUAGUUUUUAUUCACUCAAUCAACACAUGUAUACUGAGCACCUAAUACUGUCAAGCAUCAUGGUGGGCAUUGUCAAUUCAAUAUGAGAAAACACCUGAAUUGUGCUCUAGUGGCACUUACAAUCAAGUGUGAGAGAGAAACAUCAAGCAAAUAGUGACAAAUGAGGUUGUAUUAUAACAUGGGUACAAUAUAAUUUUAUAUAAUUUUUUAAAAUAGGAAUAUAACCACUGAUUUUUUUAAAAAAGCACAUAUUAAUUAAAAGCAAAAAGAAAAAAAACAUAAAUGGGGAAAAAUGCAAGAAAAAAUUAUAGCAUUUAUUUAUGUGGUCCUAGGGAUUAAACCCAGGGCCUCCCACAUUCUAGGCAAGUGCCCUACCACUGAGUCACACCCCCAAUCUACAAUGAAAUUGUUUUUGUUUUUUGGGGGGAGGGGUGCCAGAAAGUGAACCCAGGGUGCUUUAUCACUAAGCUACAUCCCCAGCCCUUUUUAUUUUAAGACACUAAGUUGCCAGAGUCUGGCCUAGAACUUUCUAUCCUCCUGCCUCAGUUUCCUGUGUAACCAACACUCCUGGCUUCAACUGGUUUUUAAAAGAGAUGAUCCCAGGAAGACCAGAAAUGAGGAAGUAGAACAAGGAAGGGAAGGAAGCCAAAAAAAGGAACAUUAUUGAGUAAAUUUCUCCUACGUAACUGCAACUGGGGCUCAGUCCUGCUGGAGACUCUGGAGGACACUGAAAAACAUGUCUUGAGUUUUCCUACCCAAGGGGCAAGGAGAAGCCUCUGGUUCUCAUCAUCAUUGGUUGAAGCCUACUCCAGGGACAUUAACUUCUCAGCACAUCUAUAUGUAAAAUGGAGGAUUUUUGGUGCAAGUAUUAGAAUAGAUAUUGGAAUGUACUGGAAUGUACAAGGGGAUAUAGAUCUCACAAGAAUUUCUGAACUCUUUGUAAAAGAGACCAGAAUCUAAAAUGAUCCCCAACAGGCAUGGGGGCACGCCUGUAAUCCCAGCAGUUUGGGAGGCAGAGGCAGGAGGAUCCCAUGUUUAAAACCAGCCUCAGCAACAAUGAGGCACUAAGUAACUCAGUGAUAGUUUGUAUCUCUAAGUAAAAUACAAAAUAGGUCUAGGGACGUGGCUCAGUGGUUGAAUGCCCCUGAGUUCAAUCCCUGAUACCAAAAAAAUAAAAGAAAGAAAAAAGAAAUCGGUCCCCAUAAUCUUCACUCCUUGGUACUCAUACGUUUGUAUGAGUGAGGGUGGGACCUGUGGCUGCUUCUCACCAACAGAACAUGGCAGAGAUUGACUGGAGAUGCGGCCCAGUGGCAGAACAUUUGCAUGGGCAAGGUCCUGGAUUCAAUACCCAGCAACAAUCAAAACUAUGGCCGAGAUGAUGGGAUGUCAGUCUAUAAUUAAGUAACAUUAUAUAAGAUUCUGUCUUGCUAAAUCUCUUUCUCCUUUACUGGCGUCAAGGAAUCAAGCUGCCAUUUUGCCCCAGUAUUUAUGGAGAAGCCCGGUUGGCAAGGAACUGUGAGCAACCUCUUAGAGCUAAAAUCAGUGCCUAACCCACAGUCAUUGAAAAACUGGAUUCCUGGUCUUACAGCAUCAAGGAACUCAAUUCUGCCAACAAUCUGCAUCUGGAAGCUCAUCUACCACUAGUCAGGUCUCCCCAUAUGGAACUGAGCCCUGACCCACACCAUGAAGACACCUUUGCAAGGAGUGAGUCUGCUCAUGACCAAUCUCCUCACCCACAGGAUGUGGGUGUUGUUUUAAGCCACUGAGUUUAUGGCAAUUUGUUGUGCAGCAUGGAAGACAAACACACUCAUUCCCUUGUCUUGUAAGCCUCCAAUCUGAGUAAGGUGGCCUCAGCUCCCCACCUUUUCUUUUUAUAACCUUUAAUGUACUGAUCAGCAAUUCUUAUGGUUUGAACAAAUGUACUGUUCUUUUUUAUUACAAAAAAUGAGACAGUCCUGUAACUCCAGCGGCUUGGGAGGCUCAGGCAGGAGGAUCAUGAGUUCAAAGCCAGCCUCAGCAAUUUAGCAAGGCUCAGAGAGACUCUGUCUCUAAGUAAAAUAUAAAAAUGGGCUGGGGAUGUGGCUCAGUGGUUGAGUGCUUCUGGGUUUAAUCCUUGGUACCAAAAAAAAAAAAAAAAAAGGAAAAUGAGAAGGUCAUUAUAAAUUAUAUAUGAAAUAGAUAAAAGCAAGCCAGGUAUGGGGGCACACAACUGUAAUCCCAGCAGCUCUGGAGGCUGAGGCAGGAAGAUCACAAGUUCAAAGCCAGCUUCAGCAACUUAGUGAGACCCUAAGCAACUCAGUGAGACCCUGUCUCUAGAUAAAAUAUAUAUGUUAAGCAAACAAACAAAAAGUAGUGGGGAUGUGGCUCAGUGGGUAAGCACCCCUGGGUUCAAUCGCUAGUACGAUAGAUAGAUAGAUAGAUAGAUAGAUAGAUAGAUAGAUAGAUAAAAAUAAAAGAAACUAAUGAUAUUCACCCCACUUUUUCUGGUAAAUUCAAACUUUCUUCUGGGCAACUCUCUAUGUUUGAGCUCUAUAAUUUUCACUCUGCUACAGAAGAACUUUUACCCAAAUAUAAGUUUAUAAUUAGAAAGACUAUACUUACAUGGAUUGCACUUGAACUUUUCCAAAGAGGCAAGCACUGAAAAUAUUCAUAUAAUUGGGAAGAGGCAUUAUUCCCAGAGAGGGAAGUUCCCAUGGACACAGUAAAGCCAUUAUCUAAUCUUUGCUCAGAGGGAUUUUCAUUCUACUCCAGGAGGAAAGAAGUGCCAAGUGUUUGAGGAAGUUGGUCCUGAACAUAUUUUUAGUAAAUAAAAGGCUUCGGAAUUUAGCAUUUAGGUGCUGAAUUUAGCAAAGGAGGCACAGAGAGACAGAAUGAGUUCUCCUUGAACUUUUUUUUUUUUUUUUUUUUUGUAGUUUUCGGUGGACACAACAUCUUUAUUUUUUUUUUAUUUUUAUUUUUAUGUGGUGCUGAGGAUCAAACUCAGCGCCCUGCGCAUGCCAGGUGAGAGCAUUACCGCUUGAGCCACAUCCCCAGCCCAUCUCCUUGAACUUUUUAUUUCCUUUCCCUCUUCACCCCUGGGCAGCUGUGAGAGGCGCUCUGAGUCCUCCAGCCAAUAUCUCAAGGGAUCUUUCUUCCUUCUUCCUUUCCAGCUUUUCCUCUUUCUGUAGCUCAUACAGCAGUUUCCAUUAGACCACAAAAUCGCCGCCGUGAGGCCACCUCUCCCCUUCACUUUCACGUGAAGCUCCUCACUUUCCUACUGCACUGCAGCUCUCGAUGGGGAGUCACUAGGUGCAUUCUUUCUUUCUUUUCUUUUCUCUUUUUAAUUAUGGUACUUGGAAUUUAACCCAGGGUCAUUCUACCACUCAGGUAUAUCCUUGAUCUUUUUAUUUUUUUUAUUUUGAGACAGGAUCUCCCUAAAUUGCUGAGCCUGACCUUCAACUUGCAAUCCUCCUGCCUCAGCCUCCUGAUUUGUAGGCGUGAGAAGUGUGUACCAACCACACACACAUUGCUUCACUGGGUGCUUUCUAUAUGCUCAUGCUUUCAUUUAACAAACAUUCCGACAUGGCUGCUAUAUGCUGGGCAUUGUGGAGGAUGCUGACCAAGGGGCACCUGGAUCUAGUGGGGGAACCUGGUACAUGCACUGGUAACACACUGUGAUCUCUGCAUGCUCUACUGGAUGUCCAAAUAUACCUAGAACCGGGGAGCUACAGUAGAAAAAGGACAGCCAGAGCAGGCACAGGGGACAGGAAUGAAGGUUGGAGAAAGAAAAUUCUUCACAAAGAAAAAGAUUCAAGCCAGGUACAGUGACACUAGUCUAUAAUCCCAGCAACUCAGGAGGAUGGGGCAGGAGGAUCGUGAAUUAAAAGCCAGCCUCAGCAACUUAGGGAGGCCCUAAGCAACUCAGUGAGACCUUGGCUCUAAGUAAAAUACAAAAAAGGGCUGGGGAUGUGGAUCAGUGGUUAAGCACCCCUGGGCUCAAUUCCCUGUACAGAAAGAAAGAGAGAAAGAAAGAAAAAAGUUUAAUUUUAACUCACAGUUUUGGAGCUUCCAGACCAUAACUGGACAGACCCAUUGCUUUUUUUAAUUUUUAUUGUUGGUUGUUCAAAACAUUACAUAGUUCUUGAUAUAUCAUAUUUCACACUUUGAUUCAAGUGGGUUAUGAACUCCCAUUUUUACCCCGUAUACAGAUUGCAGAAUCACAUCAGUUACACAUCCAUUGAUUUACAUAUUUCCAUACUACUGUCUGUUGUAUUCUGCUGCCUUUCCUAUCCUCUACUAUCCCCCCUCCCCUCCCCUCGCCUCCCCUCUUCUCUCUCUACCCCCUCUACUGUAAUUCAUUUCUCCCCCUUGUAUUAUUUUUCCCUUUCCCCUCACUUCCUCUUGUAUGUAAUUUUGUAUAACCCUGAGGGUCUCCUUUCAUUUCCAUGCAAUUUCCCUUCUCUCUCCCUUUCCUUCCCACCUCUCAUCCCUGUUUAAUGUUAAUCUUCUUCUCAUGCUCUUCAUCCCUACUCUGUUCUUAGUUACUCUCCUUAUAUCAANUGUCUCUAGAUAAAAUAUAUAUGUUAAGCAAACAAACAAAAAGUAGUGGGAAUGUGGCUCAGUAGUGGGGAUGUGGGUUGAAUCGCCAGUAUCCCCUCAAGGAAAGGCAUGUCCCCAUAUGACGAGAAUGCUUAUAACUAGGCCCGAUAUCUUAAAGCUUCUAUCACCUCCCAAGAGCACUACAGUGAGCUCUUUGUGAGACAUUUAAUAUCCAAACUAAAGCACAUACUAACAUGCAAAGAUGUCCAACUAUUCUAAGUUUAAAAAACGUUGUAAAAUAAUACAAAUAUGGUUCACAUUAGCAUAGGUAUUUUUAACUUUUUAUUUUGAGAUGAUUUACAUGCAAUUAAAGAAAUUAUUAAUACGGAAUCACAGUGAGAUGCAAUUUCACACCCACUAGAAUUAGAUGGCUAUGAUAGAGAAAACAGAUAAAAACAAAUGUUGGUGAGAACAUGGAGACAUCAAGAUCCUCAUCCACUGCUGAUGGAAGUGCUAGAUUGUGCAGCCUCUUUGCAAAAUAGCUCGGCAGGUGGUGCACACAUGUAAUCCCAGUGGCUCCAGAGGCUGAGGCAGGAGAAUCCUGAGUUCAAAGCUAGCCUCAGCAAUUUAGAAAGGCCCUAAGCAAUUUAGCCAGACCCUGUCUCUAAAUUAAAAAAUAGAAAGGGCUAGGGAUGUGGAUCAGCAGUUAAGCACCCCUGGCUUCAAUCCCCAGUACCAAAAGAAAGAAAAGAAAGAAAGAAAAAUAGCUUAGCAAUUCAAAAAGUUAAACAUAUCACCUGGCAAUUUUACUCCAGGUAUAUACCUAAGAGAAUUUAAAACAUGGCCACAGAAAAAUGUGUACAUAAAUGUUCAUAGCACCAUUGUGCAUAAUAACCAAGACAUAGAGACAACCCAAAUGUCCAUCAACUGAUGAAUGGAUAAACAAAAUAUGCAAGGAUUUCCAUGUAAUGAGAUAUCAUUUAGUCAUAAGUAGAAAUGAAGUAUUGAUAAUACUACAACAUAGAAAACUACAACCUUGAAAACCUUUAUGUUGAAUGAAAGAAACCAGACAGACACAAAAGGACACAUAUUGUGUGAUUGUGUUUAUAUGAAACAUCUAGAAUAGACAAAUCCACAGAGAUGAGAGUAGAUCAAUGGUUACCAAGGGCUGGAUGGAAAGUGGGACGGGAGUGAGUGCUGAUAGGUGCAGGGUUUCUUCCUGAGAUCAUAAAAAUAUUCUACAAUUAGUGGGUGAGGUUUCUCAGCACAGCAAAUACAUUUAAAGCUACUGAGUUGUACAUGCUAAUAGAGUAAAUCUUGUGAUAUAUGAAUUAUACAGCUCAAUAGAACUUAUUGAAAAAAGAAAGAAUAUAGAGAAAUCCUGUGUACCUCUCACCCCUUUUCCUUCAGUGGUAAUAUUCUAUGUAGCUAAAAUACAAUAUCACCAUCAGGAAAUUGACAUUGAUACAAUCCAUCAGCCUUAUUUAGAUAUCAUCAAUUUAUAUACACUCAUUUAUAUGUUUAUUUAGUUCUACAUGACUUUUUUUUUUUGUACCAGGGACUGAAUUCAGGGCCUCAUCCAUGAUAGCAAAACGCUGUGACACCGAGCUACAUUCCCAGUCUUUAUUAAAUUUUUAAAUUUUGAGACAAGGCCUUGGUAAAUUACCCAGACUACCUCAAAGUUACAAUCCUCCUGCCUCAGCCUUCUGAGUAGCUGGGAAUUACAGGCAAGCCCACCAUGCCUGGCUGGUCCUAUAUAAUUCAAUCGCACAUGUAGAUUCAUAUGACCACCACCAUGUCAAGGUGCAAAAUAGUUCCAUCACACACAUCCCUUGUGCUACAUUUUUAUGACCAUGGUCACCCCUUCACUCCCUUCAAUCUGACCCCAAUCUCUUUUUUUCCUUUUCUAUAAAUGUAUAAUUUCAAGAGUAAUUUAAGGCUGGGGUUGGGGCUCAAUGGUAGAAAGCUUGCCUAGCAUGUGUAAGGCACUAGGUUUGAUCCUCAACACUGCAUUAAAUAAAUAAAUAAAUAAAUAAAUAAAAGUAUUGUGUAAAAAAAAAAAGAAUAAUCUAAAUGGAAUUACACAGUAUAUACCAUUUUGUGAUUGGCCUUUUUUUUUUUUUCAGUGUAAUUCUCUGGAGAUCCAUCCAGAUUGUUGUGUGUAUCCAUCCAUAUUUCUUCCUUUUUAUUGAUGAGUAGUAUUCCAUGGUAUACACAUACCAUUAUUUAGUUAGCCUUUCACCACUGAAGGACAUUUGGGUUGUUUCCAGUUUGUGGCAAUUAUGAAUAGAGUUACUAUGAAUAGUCAUGAAUUUUUUUGGAUGUGCAAGCAAAUGUUACUAUUCCUCUGGGUUUUAGAUGUCCAAGAGUGUACUCACUAUAUUAUAUGGUAAUUUUUCAUAUUCAAUGUUGUAAGAAAUAGCCAUCCUCUUUUCCAGACUGGCCAUAUCAUUUUACAUUCCUACCAGCAAUGUAUAAUCAAAUUUCUCUAGAUCCUCACGAGCAUUUGGUGUUGUCAGUAAUUUAUACCCUUUCUAUACACAGUAUAUAGUGUGUAGUAUAUUUUCAGGGGUGACUACCAGGGAUUGAACUCAGGGGUGCUUUAUACUGAGCUACAUCCCCAGCUCUUUUCAUUUUUUUAUGUUGAGACAGGGUCUCACUAAGUUGCUUAGGGCUUGUGACGUGGUUGAGCCUGGCCUCAACCCUAUGAUCCUCCUGCCUCAGCCUCCAAAGUCUUUGGAAUUACAAUUAUACACCAACAUAUCUGCUGCUUAUACACAUAUUUUUUAAAAAGUUAGACAAACUGUGUGUACCAAAAUCUUUUUUUUUUUUUUUGGCAGUACCUGAGAUUGAACCCAGUACUUUGUAAAUGUUAGGCAAGUGCUCUAUCACUGAGCCAGGCUCCCAGCCCUGUGCACCAAACCCUUGACAGUUGUUAUGUUUUUAAUUUUACAUAUUAUAUUAUAUAUUACAGUGGUGUUCAAAUUUUGUAUAACUUAAUGUUUUGUCUAUAAUCUAAAAUGCAAUUGGAUUCUUAAAGGAGUUAACAGGUAGUAAGAAAGUGAAGACAAUUAUUAGAAACUGUUCUGCAGAGGAGCUUGUCCUUGCAAGUAAGCUGGUAGGGAGGAGAGAAAAGAGGAAGAUAGCGUGAGGGCAUUCUCUCCCUCAGCGUGGCAGUAUUGAGAGGUGGUGGAACCUUUAAGGGGUGGGGCUUAGAGCAAGUAAUUAGGUUAUUGGAGGUGCUGACCUCAGAAGGGAUUAGGGACUCUAAGUAGUCCUUAAGAGAGUGAGUUGUUAUGAGAGAAUAAGUCUAGCCAAGCUGUGGUGUGUCCCCAUAGUCCCAGCUAUUCAGAAGGCUGAGGCAGGAGGAUCACAUGAGCCCAGGAGUUCAUAGCCUGCCUGGGCAACAUUGUGAAAUUGCCUCAAAAAGAAAGAUCAAACAUUUAUUUUAAUAUAUAUUAAUAUUAAUAUAUAAUAUAUGUAUAUAUCUCAGAAAUUUGGGCGGGGGUGUAGCUUAGUGGUAGAGCACUUACCUAACAUGUACCAGGCCCUGGGUUCAAUCCUUACCACUGCAAAAUGAGUGAAUGAAAUAAAUUAAAUUAAAAAGAAGAAAGAAUGAAAGCCAGCACUGCUGUUCAUGCCUAUAAUCCCAGCAACUCAGAAGACUAAGCCAGGAAGAUCACAGGUUCAAGGCCAGCCUGGCAACUUAGUGACACCCUGCCUCAAAAAGAACUGGCAGAGUACCCCAGUUCUAUCCCUAGUAUGGAAAAAAAAAAGUAUGCCUCUCAAAUAUCUCUCUGGAGUCCUGUCUUAUUAUUUCUCCCUCUUGUAGGGACUCCUGCCAUUGUGAUAUCAUCCACCAUGUCUUCCACCAGAGCCAAGAAGAAGCCAGCAUCAUGCUCUUAGACCUCUAAAACUAUAAGCUAAGUAACCUCUUUUCUUUGUAAAGUACUCAGUCUCAAGUAUUUUGUUAUAACAAAAUUGUUAUAACAACAGAAAACAAACUAAGACAUGAGACAAUCUCCAGAAACAGUCAGGGGUGACUCUGGCCAAGAGCUAAUGUGAAAAGAACACCCACCUCUCUGAGACUGGAGGAAGGAAGGGCUGGCCAGAUGGAGAAGUCUGCAGGUGGGAGGAGCCGGAAGAAUUCACACUUGAUUCCCUCUGCUUGGUGACCUAGGAGGCAAUGAUUUGUGCUAAGCACUAGAACUAGAGAACAAUCACUCCUUUUACAACCAUGCUUUCAAAAAGAAUAGUUUGUCUUGUUCUUUUCUAAAGAAUAAAGAGUUUUCUCUGCUCUCUUAUUGAGGGUGCUAAGUACUGCUGGCUUUUAAUAUCAAAACUAAUAAGAGGUUAAGGAUGUUGACUCUGGAGCCAGACUGCCUGGUUGGAAUCUCAUUAUGGCUACUUUGAGACAUUGGAUGAGAAACUUUGUCUCCAUGCCUCAGCUUUCUCAUCUGUAAAGUGGGGCUGAUAAUAAUAGGAUCUGCUUCAUAGGUGUCCGGAGGAUUAAAGGAGUACACUCAUGGAAAGCGCCUAUGACCAUGGCUGGCCCACAAUAAGCAGUCAGUGGACGUAGGCUGUUAUUACUGCAGAGGAGAGAGGCAGGAUGUAGGAGGUAACUUGAGCAAGUGGAAGAGCUGGGCAGGAAACAAAAAGGAUGUCAGCAAGGACGGUAACAUAUUGCUGAUAGAAAGGAGAGAGAGAUCCCAGGGCCCAGUCGAAGUUGGAGGUGUUUUGGGGUGUUCACUCCCUGGUGUCAGGAGUUGCCCUGAGGCUAGAAUGAGAGUCAAGAAGAAAACAGAGUUUCAGUCUAUGCAGAGAAUGUGGACAGGUAUAGAUGGGUCCAGACAUCCUGCUGGUACUGUCUAGGUGCUGGGCAGCCCAGGGACCUGGUGGCUGGGCUGCCCCACAGGUAAGGACAAGAUGUUACUCUACCCAAGGCCAUUUGGGUUACAGGGAACAGGUGUCCAUGGGAACCAACUCAGGUCAAAGAGGUUAGGGUGGUCAGUGGGUGUUACAGGACACAGCAGGCAAUCUUGAGUUAUGAAUUCAAAGAGCAGGAAAUGGGGCUCAACAGAUGGAGUCUCAGGGGACAGGGUGGGACCGGAAGGGAGGUUCCUCUCUGCUUUAUGAGCUUUAGGGUCCUUCAGCUGCACCUCUCCCCACUCAUCUCUCUUGACCAGUCUUCUGCUUUUUUUAUGUUGUUGUUGUUUUCCUCUUAUUUUUGCAGAGCUGGGGAUUGACUCAAAGCCUCCUGCACACUAAGCAGGUGCUCUACUACUGAGCCACACCCUGGCCCUGCUUCACGUUCUCAUCAGGGGCAGCUUUCUGUCCCUCUUAUCUGCAAAAUGAUCACAGCCCUGAGUAUUACAAUGUUCAAGCAACAGCAGUCAAUGCAUAGUAUACCUGAUGGACUGGCAGGUAUCAGAGCCAGAUAUCCUAUUCUGAGCUGAUGAGGCCAGAUGCCCUACCCUGGGCCCUCAGCCAUGGGCAGGGUGUGUAUCUUGGCAAAUGCAUUACAAAAUUAGUAUUCCCAUAAAAUAAGUUUGGGUUUCCUCUCAUGUUUCAUGUAAAAGUAAAAACAGAAACUCAGUGAUUUCAUUGAGGUUUUUGGUUUUUUGCUUCAUCAGAACUUCCUCUGCCCCGAGGGAACUGAAUGAAGGCUACAGAUGGAAGCCUGUGCUCCCCUCCACUUUCUCCAGAUGCUUGCUCUAGUGUCUCCCAUUUUUCCCACUUUCAGAGCCUUUUUUUCCAACUUUCUUUCAAAAUUAUUUCAUUUUUUUUCUGAGUUCUUUCCUGGCUGACUCCUCUUACUUCCCUGGAUGUCCCCCCCCCCCAUCUUUUCUUCUCCACUCCUAACAGUUUAAUGAAAAUUCUAACACAGAGAAAAGUUAGAAUAGUGAGAUGGCAGCUGUAUACAUCUCGAUUCAGCAGGCCACCUUUGCCAUAUUUGCUUUCUCCUCUCUUCCCCCACAUCCUCUCCUCCCCCUCCUAGAGAAUAAGAAAAAUCCAUUACAUAACUCCAAUACCGUUAUCAUUCCUAAUGAAAUUAACAACAACUCUAUGUUGUCUUAGACUGUUUUGUACAACAAUAACUGAGUAUUCCAGACUGAAUAAUUCAUAAAGAACAGAACCUUGUGCUGGGAGUGUAGUUUCAGUUGUAGAGUACUUGCCUAGCAUGCACGAGGCCCUGGGUUCCAUCCCCAGCACUGCACGUAUACAACAAAUGAACAAAACCCUGAGCUUUAUUUCCCGCAGUUCUGGGGGUACAGAUGCAGCAAAUGCUGGGUCCUCAAUAAAUGGUAGAGUGGCAGAACAUAUACUCUGUGAAGUCUCUUUAAUAAAGCCUUUAAUCCCAUUAACAAGGAAGGAGCCCAUAUGACCGAAUCAUCUCUUAAAGGGCUCAUUGUCAUGUUGGGAAAACCUGGACUCUGAAGGGAACACAGUCAAACCGUAUCCCAUGACUCUUACAUCUUCCAUAUUCAGAUUUCCCCAGUUGUCUGUCCUAGCUGUUGGAUUCCUAACUCUUCUCAUUUCCAAACUGUAUUCUGAUUCUUGAAUCUCAGCUGCCCUCUUCUUCACAGGGAACAUUCUCUUGGCAGGAUCCAAGAAGUGUUAAAUUAACCUCAAGAAAAACCCACUGGAUUCUGUAAUCCACAGGGAUAUUCAUAUCUCCCCAUGUUCUGCUUGGGGAAAAGAAAAAUCAGUCCAUUUCUUUGGGGCUCCAAUCACAAUCACAUCUGUGUUCUUCAUCACCCUCUGUAGAGUCCCUGGUUUGCAUUUGGUUCACAAGCAACAUCUCAGGGAGGGUCACACCCCUCUCAUUAUCUCAGGAAUGGCAGUUAAGGUUUGGGCCAUUUCUCUGAAAGGCUGACCCCAAUGAUUUUUCCUAAUUUCAUUUUCAAAGAGUAGUUUUUGCUUCACUUAGGUUCCAGUGCUUUCUAAAACCUUUUUGGAAUGCUAAGAGAAGCAGUAACAGGAGAAAGCAAUUCUGGAUGGAUUUUUUUCUUUUCUUAAUCUAAUUAAUCAUUUUCCAAUGUUUUGUUAGGCGGGAAUAUUUUAUG
RNAcentral lists this long non-coding RNA (19381 nucleotides) under Marmota monax (woodchuck). Lineage: Eukaryota; Metazoa; Chordata; Mammalia; Rodentia; Sciuridae. The record is from RNAcentral.